CCCUAUGGGGUGCACGGCUCGCAUGGGUCGCACGGCUCGCACGGGUCGCACGGCUCGCACGGCUCCUGGUAAUCGACGGAACGGGGUUCGUCGAUUCGGGAACCGCAGCUCGGGGGGGCUGGCCGGACGGUCGAUCAAACGGGGCGCGGACGCGCUUCCAGUCCAUGGUGUAUCCACUUCAUUCGUGUCCUGAAACCUGAAACGACAAUUACCUGUUUCGUUCCUUAUCGUUGAAAUUCAUUUUCGGGUACGGCACGGUGUUUCGGGUGCGGCGCAGGCGUCGCGUAACCCGAGCGUACGCGCGCAUGCGAUGCGCGCCAUGCCAGAGCACGCCCGCGGCACGCGAACCCUCGGGGAUUUUGCCUGUCCUUUCGUGGUGUUGGGAUCGGCCUGGUGAAUUCUAUUUGUUCAUUCUCGAAUUGGCGGGAGGGC
Molecule: ribosomal RNA, 432 nt
Filed under: uncultured prokaryote
Description: partial 16S ribosomal RNA
Source: RNAcentral